Molecule: long non-coding RNA, 331 nt
Organism: Haliotis rubra (blacklip abalone)
Lineage: Eukaryota; Metazoa; Mollusca; Gastropoda; Lepetellida; Haliotidae
Exons: 3
Source: RefSeq, a predicted model, not a curated record
CGGGUGAGUGUAACAGUACUCAACAGUAUGGGUGUUGACAACACCGGAAUAUCCUGUCAAAGGAUGAGGCUAAAAUUAGAUUUCACUUCCUGGUUGGUCGGACUGCCUUCAAUCGAAAGGAGUACAUGACAUACGUUAUGAAUGACACUCGAUGAUGGAAAUGGUGAUUCUAAUUGGAGGAACUUUGUUGGUGACACUGUUGUCUCAUGUUGGAGGUCAAACACUGUCACUACAAGGAUCUUCAUCCUCAGUGCUACUGGGUGACAGCUUCCAGUCCACCUGCACCGUGAGUGGAGGCAGCCCUCUACAAGGACCACUGAGCUUCAUGAGG